RNAcentral lists this ribosomal RNA (253 nucleotides) under uncultured bacterium. RNAcentral's name for it is "partial 16S ribosomal RNA". It matches the Rfam family "Bacterial small subunit ribosomal RNA", at positions 524 to 776 of the family's 1533-position model. The record is from RNAcentral.
UACGUAGGGUGCAAGCGUUAAUCGGAAUUACUGGGCGUAAAGCGUGCGCAGGCGGUUUUGUAAGUCUGACGUGAAAUCCCCGGGCUCAACCUGGGAAUUGCGUUGGAGACUGCAAGGCUGGAAUCUGGCAGAGGGGGGUAGAAUUCCACGUGUAGCAGUGAAAUGCGUAGAGAUGUGGGGGAACACCGAUGGCGAAGGCAGCCCCCUGGGUCAAGAUUGACGCUCAUGCACGAAAGCGUGGGGAGCAAACAGG